GUCAGCAUGCCCCUUACCCCUGGGCACACACGUGCUACAAUGGGCGAGACAAUUAGAUACAAAUCUGCGAAAGCCUAGCUAAUCUAAAACCUCGUUCUAAGUUCGGAUUGUAGGCUGCAACUCGCCUGCAUGAAGUUGGAAUCGCUAGUAAUCGCUGGUCAGCUACACAGCGGUGAAUUCGUUCCCGGGCCUUGUACACACCGCCCGUCACACCAUGGAAGCUGGUUAUGCCCAAAGUCGUCACUCUAACCUUUUUGGAGGAGGAUGCCUAAGGUAGAAUUAGUGACUAGGGUG
RNAcentral lists this ribosomal RNA (294 nucleotides) under uncultured bacterium MT36. RNAcentral's name for it is "partial 16S ribosomal RNA". It matches the Rfam family "Bacterial small subunit ribosomal RNA", at positions 1189 to 1482 of the family's 1533-position model. The record is from RNAcentral.